AGCUCCAAUAGCGUAUAUUAAAGUUGCUGCAGUUAAAAAGCUCGUAGUUGCAUUUCCGAGGCAAGGGAUUAGUCCGACCUUUGGUGGGUAUUUAAUCCUCUUGCCUCGUCCUUGAGUGGUGCUUCUUGGUAUUAAGUUAUCGAGGAGAUAGCCGCUCAUCGUUUACUGUGAGAAAAUUAGAGUGUUCAAAGCAGGCUUAUGCCGUUGAAUAUAUUAGCAUGGAAUAAUAAGAUAGGACCUCGGUACUAUUGUGUUGGUUUGAGAACCAAGGUAAUGAUGAAUAGGGACAGUUGGGGGUAUUCGUAUUCAGUUGUCAGAGGUGAAAUUCUUAGAUUUACGGAAGACGAACUACUGCGAAAGCAUUUACCAAGGAUGUUUGCA
Molecule: ribosomal RNA, 381 nt
Filed under: uncultured marine Chaetocerotaceae
Lineage: Eukaryota; Bacillariophyta; Thalassiosirophyceae; Chaetocerotales; Chaetocerotaceae
Description: SSU rRNA
Rfam family: Eukaryotic small subunit ribosomal RNA
Source: RNAcentral